Equus caballus (horse) is the source of this 1770-nucleotide non-coding RNA. The record is from RefSeq and is a predicted model, not a curated record. Lineage: Eukaryota; Metazoa; Chordata; Mammalia; Perissodactyla; Equidae.
GCCGCCGGGCCCCCCGCGCAGGCGCACAGCGGGGCUGAGGCGAGGGCGGAGAUGGCGAAGAGGUGAAGGCGGGGGAGGGAGUGCCUGGGAACAGGCAGCAGAUGCCUGGCGAGGUGCCUUGCAGCUGGCGGCGGGUGGGGCCCGCCGGGCGGGCCGCCGCUUUCCCCUGUCGACGAAGGCUGCUGACGGGAAAACGACCCGGGAGGGAAGCGCCCCGGCCAGGCCCCCUCCCCUGAAAGUCUGCGGGAGCCGAGGGCCAGGUAGCCAGGCAAUGUUACAAAGGGACGUUGAGAAUCCCAAAGACCAACCUUCUCCAAAGACCCGAGACCCCUCUCUGCCCACUGCCGGUUCUCUGACCUCUGGCAAGUCACUUAGCCCGGCCCUCAGUUUCCCCACUCUUCUAGAGGGCUUGCGGCCGGCCGGAGAAUGGCCAAGAAGAAAAGAGUUCACAUCCCAAUCACUGCUUGCCUAUGACAGGAUUCAAAUGAAACAUGACAAACCUGUAAAAGCUGCAACCUGGACAUGUCAACGCAGAACUUUCCAGUGCACUGGAUGGGACUCAGGAGACGAAGCACACACAUUGCCGUGUCAUGUUGGGCAGCAUGGGAGAUGAAAGAGGAACCCGUGAAAGAGCAAGUCCUUGCUGGCUGAAGCGUGUGUGGUGGGGAAACUGCCAUGGUGUUCAUAGAUACAAGUGUGUAUCUAUCUGGAACUCGCCUCAUUAUGGAAAAAAUUUUGUGGAGAUACGCUGCACUGACUGGAACAUUAUUCCCUUGUUUUUUUAAGUUAUCAAAUUUAUAAAGCAGAAAGCAUUGGUUGUAAAACUAGUCAUUGAACUGGAAUUUAAUCCUGACCUAGUUCCCGAUGUUGGGUGGUAAUUAUUCUUAUUUACCAAAGCCCAGAGAAAAUCGGUGUUAAAAAACAACCUGGGUGAGCAUUGCUUUGAAGGGGAACAAGUUUCACUACCUUUAGGUAGAAGAGUUAGCUUUGUAAAACAUCUAGGUUGUCUUGCUGAAGGACUCUGACCACGGGGCAUGAACGAAAACAACUCGAGUGUUUAGGGGUUCUUCCACACGGCAGACAACAAGUUAAAGCUCCCCAGGGAAAGCACAGGAGGCGGGCGCAUUUGCAGAGCAAGCACUCCCGACUACCAUGGUGCGCCCCCGUGCCCAGCACAGCGUGCGGCCAGUCACUCAUCCAGGAGAAUGAAUCAACACUGUAUAAACACUCCCAGUAUUUGCUCAGUCUCCUCAGAGUUAUCAUUAAUCAGGUGAGCAUUUUCUGAUUUAAUCUGGUAAACAAACCAGUUGUACUUUAAAUUGGUCCUAAAGAAUAUAUAUAAUUGGAAUAGUUGUUAAGACACGAAGAAAUGCCAAAACAGAAGCCACCAGUUGGUCACUGUAUAUUAUUCUGCAUCAUUUAUUAAAUAUUUAUUUUUAUAUAUGCAUUUACAAACUUUAAGUACUCAUUUCAGAACUCUGCUUUCAAUACAUUUUUAAACUUUUUUGUAGAGAGAUUCUCUUGUAAAAUGAGAUCCAUGUACAAAACUAGGCAACAGAUAUAAAAGUUUCCUUUCAUACUUUUCAUCCAUCAAGAAAAGAAAUCAUGUGACAAAGAAAUAAAACCAAAACGUGGCUCUUUCACAAGAAUAACAUGUCAGUGUUCAACUAUGAGUUCUAACGGGAUAGAUCAUAUUUCAUCUUUAUAUGGAUGUAUAUAGUUUAAUACUUCUUAGCUACUGUAGCAUGUUGGUUCAGAUGAAGAAAAAAU